Non-coding RNA from Labrus bergylta (ballan wrasse), 360 nucleotides. The record is from RefSeq and is a predicted model, not a curated record. Lineage: Eukaryota; Metazoa; Chordata; Actinopteri; Labriformes; Labridae.
GUAGGUUAUAAAUAGAUUGAUCCUUCUCGAAUGUGUUUUAUCUUCUUACAUCUGUUUUGUCAUUUCUCUCAUAGCUCGCUAGGUGUACAAAUACAGUAACCUGCACCUGAACAAUGUGUUAUUUCUUUAAAUCUCAUAAAACAGGCGGGUGGAGACUAAUAGAAGGCUGUUUGAAAAAGCAGCACACACUUUGAAGGAAACGUCCCUCCUCUGAACAUCUUCACCUCUCUGCUCCAGAGGACCUGACAAGAAUACUUUCUGCCUAUUCUGAAACACAAAGAUGGCUGUAGCUCUCACUCUCCUUCUUGUUGGCUGUCUGCUCCCAGGUGCCCUGUGUGGACAGUUUGAGAGCAUUAUACA